CACUUCAUUUUUGAUUCUUCGUCCCCUCUCCCUGAGUCUUUGAUCGUUUACUUCUCUGUUUCUUUACUUGAUCUCUAGCUUAUAGCUGCAAAUUUGUUAGAUCUCUGUCUGUUUCUAGCUCUUGUUGCAAUCAUUAGAACUUUUAGCGUGCACCAUUUCAAGUUCAGCUUAUUCUUCGUAUUAGUAUUUCCCAAUCACCGUAUUUUUUGGUCGCUACCCACUUCAGCUUACCAGCUUUUCUC
Molecule: unclassified non-coding RNA, 242 nt
Filed under: Hevea brasiliensis (rubber tree)
Lineage: Eukaryota; Viridiplantae; Streptophyta; Magnoliopsida; Malpighiales; Euphorbiaceae
Source: RNAcentral